UACAGAGGGUGCGAGCGUUGUUCGGAAUUAUUGGGCGUAAAGGGCGCGUAGGCGGUGCGGUAAGUCACCUGUGAAAUCUCCUGGCUCAACUGGGAGCUUGCAGGCGAAACUGCCGUGUUGGAGUGUGGGAGAGGUGCGUGGAAUUCCUGGUGUAGCGGUGAAAUGCGUAGAUAUCAGGAGGAACACCUGUGGCGAAAGCGGCGCACUGGACCACAACUGACGCUGAGGCGCGAAAGCUAGGGGAGCAAACAGG
RNAcentral lists this ribosomal RNA (253 nucleotides) under uncultured bacterium. Its description in RNAcentral is "partial 16S ribosomal RNA". It matches the Rfam family "Bacterial small subunit ribosomal RNA", at positions 524 to 776 of the family's 1533-position model. The record is from RNAcentral.